GUGCUAGCUUCGGCAGCAAAUAUACUAAACUUGGAACGAUACAGAGAUUAGCAUGGCCCCUGUGCAAGGAUGACAAACAGAUUCGUGAAGUGUUUCAUAUUAAA
This is a small nuclear RNA of Nannospalax galili (Upper Galilee mountains blind mole rat), 104 nucleotides long. The record is from Ensembl. Lineage: Eukaryota; Metazoa; Chordata; Mammalia; Rodentia; Spalacidae.